UAGCAUGGAAUAAUAAAAUAGGACGUGCGGUUCUAUUUUGUUGGUUUUUGGAAUCGCCGUAAUGAUUAAUAGGGACAGUCGGGGGCAUUAGUACUCACAUGCUAGAGGUGAAAUUCUUGGAUUUUGUGAAGACUAACUUCUGCGAAAGCAUUUGCCAAGGAUGUUUUCAUUAAUCAGGGAACGAAAGUUAGGGGAUCGAAGACGAUCAGAUACCGUCGUAGUCUUAACCAUAAACUAUGCCGACUAGGGAUUGGCGGUCGUUACCUAGACUCCGUCAGCACCUUCCGAGAAAUCAAAGUCUUUGGGUUCCGGGGGGAGUAUGGUCGCAAGGCUGAAACUUAAAGAAAUUGACGGAAGGGCACCACCAGG
This 369-nucleotide ribosomal RNA is filed under the name Thalassiosira minuscula. Its description in RNAcentral is "partial Eukaryotic small subunit ribosomal RNA". It matches the Rfam family "Eukaryotic small subunit ribosomal RNA", at positions 805 to 1174 of the family's 1831-position model. Lineage: Eukaryota; Bacillariophyta; Thalassiosirophyceae; Thalassiosirales; Thalassiosiraceae. The record is from RNAcentral.